This 21-nucleotide non-coding RNA is filed under the name Arabidopsis thaliana (thale cress). The record is from RNAcentral. Lineage: Eukaryota; Viridiplantae; Streptophyta; Magnoliopsida; Brassicales; Brassicaceae.
GUUCCCCGGAGACUACGGAUG